RNAcentral lists this ribosomal RNA (253 nucleotides) under uncultured bacterium. RNAcentral describes it as "partial 16S ribosomal RNA". It matches the Rfam family "Bacterial small subunit ribosomal RNA", at positions 524 to 776 of the family's 1533-position model. The record is from RNAcentral.
AACGUAGGAGACAAACGUUAUCCGGAGUUACUGGGCGUAAAGGGCGUGUAGGUGGUUUCGUAAGUCUGGCGUGAAAUUUCUCGGCUUAACCGAGGCAGGUCGUCGGAUACUGCGGAACUUGAGGACGGUAGAGGCGUGUGGAAUUCCGGGUGUAGUGGUGAAAUGCGUAGAGAUCCGGAGGAACACCAGUGGCGAAGGCGACACGCUGGGCCGUACCUGACACUGAUGCGCGAAAGCGUGGGGAGCGAACAGG